This 1048-nucleotide ribosomal RNA is filed under the name uncultured bacterium. RNAcentral's name for it is "bacterial SSU rRNA". It matches the Rfam family "Bacterial small subunit ribosomal RNA", at positions 66 to 1117 of the family's 1533-position model. The record is from RNAcentral.
GCUGAAGCCCUGGUGCUUGCACCGGGUGGAUGAGUGGCGAACGGGUGAGUAACACGUGAGUAACCUGCCCCUGACUUCGGGAUAAGCCCGGGAAACUGGGUCUAAUACCGGAUACGACUGCCGGACGCAUGUCUGGUGGUGGAAAGUUUUUUCGGUUGGGGAUGGGCUCGCGGCCUAUCAGUUUGUUGGUGAGGUAAUGGCUCACCAAGACGACGACGGGUAGCCGGCCUGAGAGGGCGACCGGCCACACUGGGACUGAGACACGGCCCAGACUCCUACGGGAGGCAGCAGUGGGGAAUAUUGCACAAUGGGGGAAACCCUGAUGCAGCGACGCAGCGUGCGGGAUGACGGCCUUCGGGUUGUAAACCGCUUUCAGCAGGGAAGAAGCGCAAGUGACGGUACCUGCAGAAGAAGUACCGGCUAACUACGUGCCAGCAGCCGCGGUAAUACGUAGGGUACGAGCGUUGUCCGGAAUUAUUGGGCGUAAAGAGCUCGUAGGUGGUUGGUCACGUCUGCUGUGGAAACGCAACGCUUAACGUUGCGCGUGCAGUGGGUACGGGCUGACUAGAGUGCAGUAGGGGAGUCUGGAAUUCCUGGUGUAGCGGUGAAAUGCGCAGAUAUCAGGAGGAACACCGGUGGCGAAGGCGGGACUCUGGGCUGUAACUGACACUGAGGAGCGAAAGCAUGGGGAGCGAACAGGAUUAGAUACCCUGGUAGUCCAUGCCGUAAACGUUGGGCACUAGGUGGUGGGGGGGCAUUCCACGUUCUCCGCGCCGUAGCUAACGCAUUAAGUGCCACGCCUGGGGGAGUACGGUCGCAAGGCUAAAACUCAAAGGAAUUGACGGGGGCCCGCACAAGCGGCGGAGCAUGCGGAUUAAUUCGAUGCAACGCGAAGAACCUUACCAAGGCUUGACAUACACCGGACCGUCCUGGAAACAGGUCCUCUUCUUUGAAGCUGGUGUACAGGUGGGUGCAUGGUUGUCGUCAGCUCGUGUCGUGAGAUGUUUGGGUUAAGUCCCGCAACGAGCGCAACCCUCGUUCUAUGUUG